Molecule: long non-coding RNA, 153 nt
Organism: Paramormyrops kingsleyae
Lineage: Eukaryota; Metazoa; Chordata; Actinopteri; Osteoglossiformes; Mormyridae
Source: RefSeq, a predicted model, not a curated record
AACAGCUUUGACAUUUGAUGUCAAUGGUGCAUGAUUCCUUCAAGACAAGAUGGGUGACCAAGAGACAAAUUGAAGCAUACUGAAGCGCACAGAUGAUUUCUUGGAUCAUCUUGGCCCAGUGUGAAGUGUGGGAAGUGGUGCCGGAGAUCAGAG